RNAcentral lists this ribosomal RNA (403 nucleotides) under uncultured prokaryote. RNAcentral describes it as "bacterial SSU rRNA". It matches the Rfam family "Bacterial small subunit ribosomal RNA", at positions 355 to 774 of the family's 1533-position model. The record is from RNAcentral.
UGGGGAAUAUUGGGCAAUGGGGGCAACCCUGACCCAGCAACACCGCGUGUGCGAAGAAGGCCUUCGGGUUGUAAAGCACUUUUUGAGAGGAUGAGGAAGGACGGUACUCUCAGAAUAAGUCUCGGCUAACUACGUGCCAGCAGCCGCGGUAACACGUAGGAGGCAAACGUUAUCCGGAUUUACUGGGCGUAAAGCGCGUGUAGGUGGUUUGGUAAGUAGAGCGUGAAAGCUCCUGGCUCAACUGGGAGAGGUCGUUCUAAACUGCCGGACUAGAGGAUGGUAGAGGGAGGUGGAAUUCCGGGUGUAGCGGUGGAAUUCGCAGAUAUCCGGGGGAACACCAGUGGCGAAAGCGGCCUCCUGGACCACUCCUGACACUCAGACGCGAAAGCUAGGGUAGCAAACG